RNAcentral lists this long non-coding RNA (782 nucleotides) under Salmo salar (Atlantic salmon). RNAcentral describes it as "lncRNA (ENSSSAG00000105923.1)". Lineage: Eukaryota; Metazoa; Chordata; Actinopteri; Salmoniformes; Salmonidae. The record is from RNAcentral.
UCCCACAUGGGAACACACACACACACAAGAUACCCACAUCAAGCCACACCCGAAUUCAGUCAUGGCCGCUAGCAUUUUAUCAGAACUCAGGAAAAGACCCAGAUGCCGACAGCUAGAAUCAGAUGUUUAUUGACCCAAAUGGGGCAGGCAAAAGACAGGUGAAGGGCAGGCAGAGGUAGGUAAUCCAGGGCAGAGUCAAUAAGGUACAAAACAGCAGGGAGGCUCGGGGUCAGGGCAGGCAGAGGUUCGUAAUCCAGGGCAGAGUCAAUAAGGUACAAAACAGCAGGCAGGCUCGGGGUCAGGGCAGGCAGAGGUUCGUAAUCCAGGGCAGAGUCAAUAAGGUACAAAACAGCAGGCAGGCUCGGGGUCAGGGCAGGCAGAGGUUCGUAAUCCAGGGCAGAGUCAAUAAGGUACAGAACAGCAGGCAGGCUCGGGGUCAGGGCAGGCAGAGGUUCGUAAUCCAUGGCAGAGUCAGGCAAGUAUAGAAUGGCAGGCAGGCAGAAUGUUCAGAACCGGGGAAACUAGGAAACAGAAACUUGAGAAAGCAGGAAGACGGGAAAGCACGCUGGUAAGACCUGACAAGACGAACUGGUAACAGACAACAAAGAACAAAGGUAUAAAUACACAGGGGAUAAUGGGGAAGAUGGGUGGAGAAAAGCACAACGACAGGUGAAACCGAUCAGGGUGUGCCACCUUUCUUAAUUAACCAGAUCUAAAACAAGGCCAAAGCAGGAAGUACAGUCGCCCUUUAAAACAAACUAAUGACAUGUUGCACCUCUACC